GGACAAACGCUGGCGGCAUGCCUACCACAUGCAAGUCGAACGGACAGAACAGGGAAGCUUUUCGGAGUGGAACUGGAAAGUUAGUGGCGGAUGGGUGAGUAACGCGUGGACAACCUACCUUGUAAAGGGGAAUAACCUCGAGAAAUCGAAGCUAAUACCCCAUAAUAACCUUGCUUCGCAUGAAGUAAGGAGGAAAGGCGGCCUUAGCGCUGUCGAUACAAGAUGGGUCCGCGUCUGAUUAGCUAGUUGGUGAGGUAAAGGCUCACCAAGGCGACGAUCAGUAGCCGGCCUGAGAGGGUGAACGGCCACAUUGGGACUGAGACACGGCCCAAACUCCUACGGGAGGCAGCAGUGGGGAAUCUUCCGCAAUGGGCGAAAGCCUGACGGAGCAAUGCCGCGUGAGUGAAGAAGGCCUUCGGGUUGUAAAACUCUGUCCUCAUCGAAGAGAGAGUGUUGUAGUAACUGACAAUACUAGGACGGUAGAUGAGGAGGAAGCCCCGGCUAACUAUGUG
Molecule: ribosomal RNA, 512 nt
Filed under: uncultured bacterium
Lineage: Bacteria
Description: partial 16S ribosomal RNA
Rfam family: Bacterial small subunit ribosomal RNA
Source: RNAcentral